CCUACGGUGGCAGCAGUGGGGAAUAUUGGACAAUGGGCGAAAGCCUGAUCCAGCCAUGCCGCGUGUGUGAAGAAGGCCUUCGGGUUGUAAAGCACUUUCAGUGGGGAAGAAAGCCUUGGGGCUAAUACCCUCGAGGAAGGACAUCACCCACAGAAGAAGCACCGGCUAACUCCGUGCCAGCAGCCGCGGUAAUACGGAGGGUGCGAGCGUUAAUCGGAAUUACUGGGCGUAAAGCGCGCGUAGGCGGUCUGAUAAGCCGGUUGUGAAAGCCCCGGGCUCAACCUGGGAACGGCAUCCGGAACUGUCAGGCUAGAGUGCAGGAGAGGAAGGUAGAAUUCCCGGUGUAGCGGUGAAAUGCGUAGAGAUCGGGAGGAAUACCAGUGGCGAAGGCGGUCUUCUGGACUGACACUGACGCUGAGGUGCGAAAGCGUGGGUAGCAAACAGGAUUAGAUACCCUGGUAGUC
This 464-nucleotide ribosomal RNA is filed under the name Vreelandella stevensii. RNAcentral's name for it is "partial 16S ribosomal RNA". It matches the Rfam family "Bacterial small subunit ribosomal RNA", at positions 338 to 795 of the family's 1533-position model. The record is from RNAcentral. Lineage: Bacteria; Pseudomonadati; Pseudomonadota; Gammaproteobacteria; Oceanospirillales; Halomonadaceae.